CCACAUGAUACCAAGAUAUGCGCAGUCAUUUCGUUUCUGUGCUCCAAGCUGCAGAACUUCUUUCAAUUCAACCCCUUUCUGCCAUUAUUUACAUCCUUUGCCUUAGCCUGCCACCAUGGCUGCACUGGGGCUCUGCCUUGGAGCCUAUUUAGGAACAUCAGAAGGUUACAAUACCACUAAAAGUCAAGAGUCCAAUAACUCCUGGCAGUAUUUCUUUGGUCAGCUAUUUACUAACUACACCACCCACACAUGGUUGAUAAUUGGCAUCUUCAUUUUUAUCCUGGUCAUCCUCUGCAUUCUGUGCUGCCGACAAAGUACGUGGACCAUCAUAAGGACUCUCUGUUGUGGCAGUAUAACAGCUGUAUCACUUUUAAUAACCAUAAGUGUGUUUUACAUUUGCUUUUUCAAUGAAUUUCCUUUUUCUUGUUCAGGAUGUGUUCCAAAUGCCAGGGAAAAGUAAGCCUCCUGUCCUUCAUACACAUUUAAUGAAUAUGAGCACAUGUUCAUAACCAUUUUCUGAUUGUUCUCUCUGUGUCCUGUCAGUAGUUCCGAGACACCCCAGUGUGACCCUCAUGACAAUGAGGGUGUGGCCAUGUGUAAGUUUAGUCAUGCAGACACAUUCAUUUUUUUUAAUAUCUGUGGCCAUUCCAGUACCCUAUUUGAUAUUUAAUGUAAUAAUCUGUAUCUUAUGAAUGCCAUUUAACAGACAGCAACAUUGCUGGUGUCCCUAAUAGGGAAAAGACGAACUGCAUCACGAUGGACAGCACUGAGUCAAAGGUGGACAAACAUUAUCAAAUAGGAUCUGAUUUGUCAGUUAAAAUUUCCCAGCAAUUAAAUACAGUUCUUUACUGGAUGAUGGAGUGUCAGGUUCACUGAUAUUUAAAAACAAUAUUUUUUUCAUUAUUUUUUAUCCUCUCACUACAGAACCCAGAUUCCAAUGAAGUUUGUUAUGCCUCGGUGAAACACAGAGAUCACAGGGAAGCGCCUCACAGGAUCAGGUGUGGACAGGGUUCGGAGUAUGCUGCCAUUGUCUUUGAUAGGUCAAGCCUCGGAACUACAGGAAAUGUCCCGGAAAGGAAGUGGGAGUAAUACUCAGUCUCUUUAUGAAAGCCAGUGAUUCGUUUGCCUCGAUCUUCUAUCAAAUCUUGGAUUCUAAUAUUGUUGUGAUGAUUGUUUUAUCUCUUCAUGACAUUUGUGAUCUCCAUUUUUGCACCACAAGCUUCUGGAAAGUUCUGCUUGGUUCUACCAGACAUAUGCAAGUGAGAGCUUCUUUGCAGUGGUUGUCUAAAAUAACAAAAACCACAUUUAUUGUUGCAUGACUUUUACAAAUUUAACACAAAGAAUACUGGUUUUAAAUAGGCUUGCAUUUUGAAUAAGGUGAGAGUUCCUUUGUACAUGUUCCAUUGUAAGAGAAAAUCAAUAUUUAUAGUUGCAUGGCUUUUAGACAUCAAACACCAAGAAUAGUGUGUUUUAAGCAGUGUUGGUUUUUGAAUGAAACCACACUUGUCAGUUUGUUUUCACCCAGUUUGCAAAAGGAUCAGCAACUGAAAAUGAGUGUAUGUUUAUUAUUGAUAUGCACAGAAUGCACAGACUUACCUAGUAUUUUUUCACUUUUACAUUUAUUAGAUGCAUUUAUUUAAAGUGGCCAACAGGUUAAAAGCAAAAAAAUACAGCAAAUACAUAAAAAUAAAAGUUUUAAAACAAGGUAUAAAGCA
This is a long non-coding RNA of Scleropages formosus (Asian bonytongue), 1715 nucleotides long. Lineage: Eukaryota; Metazoa; Chordata; Actinopteri; Osteoglossiformes; Osteoglossidae. The record is from Ensembl.